RNAcentral lists this long non-coding RNA (618 nucleotides) under Homo sapiens (human). Its description in RNAcentral is "HSALNT0059810". The record is from RNAcentral. Lineage: Eukaryota; Metazoa; Chordata; Mammalia; Primates; Hominidae.
CGGCGGCCACCGCGAGGCGCGCGGCGAGGCCAUGGCCCCAGGGCUGGUGAUGAGCUCGUGUUUGCCAAACCUAACACCUCACCCUCCGGCCAACGCGAGAAUCCGAGUAUCCCCCACGCCCUCUCAAGCUUGGAUGCCGUUCCCAUCCGACCACUGCCUUUGGCUCACACCAGAGUUCUGCAGAGAUGUCACCGCGAGGACACCCAAACAGGCUGCAGGGAAAAGAAAACUGUGAAUUCAGGCAGGCUAGGGCAAACUCAUCAUCAGGAAAAGAACUGCAGAUCGCAAAUUAAACCAAAUGAUGCCCAGAGAACACAGAAUUUUAAAUGGAAACCUAUGGGGAAAGAUUCAAAGAUUUCAUGUAAACAAAUUUUCUUGGUCAAUAAAGUUCCAUUUGUUUCCAUAACCUCUCCCUCCCCAGUAAAUGAAUAAUAAACUGUCUAAAGUUUAGGACUGUAAGCCACCUCAUUAAGUGAAGAAAGAGGGGCUCAAAUGGGAAAAUAACUUGCUCAAGAUUCUGAAGGUAGACCCGAAGACGAAAUGAUUGAUCUGUGAAUGACCAUGUGAUAUUAUUAAUUCUGGUCUCCUAAUUCAGAGUUUGCAAUAAUUCGCAAACGG